This 69-nucleotide transfer RNA is filed under the name Simulium jisigouense. Its description in RNAcentral is "tRNA-Asp". Lineage: Eukaryota; Metazoa; Arthropoda; Insecta; Diptera; Simuliidae. The record is from RNAcentral.
AAAAAAUUAGUUAAACCCAAUAACAUUAGUAUGUCAAACUAAAAUUAUCAAGCUUCUUGAUAUUUUUUG